Molecule: transfer RNA, 19 nt
Filed under: Hylarana erythraea (green paddy frog)
Lineage: Eukaryota; Metazoa; Chordata; Amphibia; Anura; Ranidae
Description: partial tRNA-Trp
Source: RNAcentral
AGAGACUUAGGCUAACAUA